Molecule: ribosomal RNA, 119 nt
Filed under: Anolis carolinensis (green anole)
Lineage: Eukaryota; Metazoa; Chordata; Lepidosauria; Squamata; Anolidae
Source: RNAcentral
CAAUGUAGGCAGAAAACCCUAAAGGCACCAAAUCCCAUAAGAUCUGGUAAGUUAAGCAGGGUGAACUCUGGUUAGUACUAGGAUGGGAGACUACCAAUGAAUCCCAGGUGCUAUCUUUU